Molecule: ribosomal RNA, 518 nt
Filed under: Candidatus Magasanikiibacteriota bacterium
Lineage: Bacteria; Candidatus Magasanikiibacteriota
Description: partial 23S ribosomal RNA
Rfam family: Bacterial large subunit ribosomal RNA
Source: RNAcentral
GUUAAGGUAUUAAGGGUGUACGGUGGAUGCCUUGGCAUCAGGAGACGAUGAAGGGCGUGGCAAGCUGCGAUAAGCCUCGGUAAGCCGCAAGCAGGCUGUGAUCCGGGGAUUCCCGAAUGGGGCAACCCAGACGAUUAAUGCCGUCUAUUCUCCGCUGAAUACAUAGGUGGAAGAAUGUAAACGCAGGGAAGUGAAACAUCUCAGUACCUGCAGGAGUAGAAAUCAAACGAGAUUCCCUGAGUAGUGGCGAGCGAAACGGGAAUAGCUCAAACCUUGUAUAUGUCAAGCCCGUAAGCGUUGUAUGCAAGGGGUUGUAGGACUUCAUUUGACGACAUUGCGGUGCCGUCGACGAGUCAAAAACCAAAUUCUUAGUAGAAUGGCUUGGAAAAGCCAGCCAAAGAAGGUGAAAGCCCUGUAAACGAAAAGAAUUUGGCUCGUUGGAUGAGGAACCUGAGUACCACGGGGCCCGUGAAACCUUGUGGGAAGCCGGGAGGACCACCUUCCAAAGCUAAAUACUC